UCUCAUACCAGCCUUACUCCAAGACCAAGU
Molecule: non-coding RNA, 30 nt
Filed under: Rattus norvegicus (Norway rat)
Lineage: Eukaryota; Metazoa; Chordata; Mammalia; Rodentia; Muridae
Source: RNAcentral